GACGAACGCUGGCGGCGUGCCUAAUACAUGCAAGUAGAACGCUGAAGGAGGAGCUUGCUCUUCUGGAUGAGUUGCGAACGGGUGAGUAACGCGUAGGUAACCUGCCUGGUAGCGGGGGAUAACUAUUGGAAACGAUAGCUAAUACCGCAUAACAGUAGAUGUUGCAUGACAUUUGCUUGAAAGGUGCAAUUGCAUCACUACCAGAUGGACCUGCGUUGUAUUAGCUAGUUGGUGGGGUAACGGCUCACCAAGGCGACGAUACAUAGCCGACCUGAGAGGGGGAUCGGCCGCACUGGGACUGAGACACGGCCCAGACUCCUACGGGAGGCAGCAGUAGGGAAUCGUCGGCAAUGGACGGAAGUCUGACCGAGCAACGCCGCGUGAGUGAAGAAGGUUUUCGGAUCGUAAAGCUCUGUUGUAAGAGAAGAACGAGUGUGAGAGUGGAAAGUUCACACUGUGACGGUAUCUUACCAGAAAGGGACGGCUAACUACGUG
This 495-nucleotide ribosomal RNA is filed under the name uncultured bacterium. Its description in RNAcentral is "partial 16S ribosomal RNA". It matches the Rfam family "Bacterial small subunit ribosomal RNA", at positions 28 to 507 of the family's 1533-position model. The record is from RNAcentral.